GACGAACGCUGGCGGCGUGCUUAACACAUGCAAGUCGAACGGAAAGGCCCUGCUUUUGUGGGGUGCUCGAGUGGCGAACGGGUGAGUAACACGUGAGUAACCUGCCCUUGACUUUGGGAUAACUUCAGGAAACUGGGGCUAAUACCGGAUAGGAGCUCCUGCUGCAUGGUGGGGGUUGGAAAGUUUCGGCGGUUGGGGAUGGACUCGCGGCUUAUCAGCUUGUUGGUGGGGUAGUGGCUUACCAAGGCUUUGACGGGUAGCCGGCCUGAGAGGGUGACCGGCCAAAUUGGGAAUGAGAAACGGGCCCGAAUCCUUAGGGGGGGAGGCGGGGGGAAAAUUGCAAAAAGGGGGGAAGACCGAAGCAGGCAAGCCGGGGGGGGGAAGAAGGGCUUUGGGGUGGAAACCCCCUUCGCCUGUGAAGAAGGGGGAGGUAAGGGAAAGGGGAAAAAAACAACGGCUAAAUAAGUG
Molecule: ribosomal RNA, 468 nt
Filed under: uncultured bacterium
Lineage: Bacteria
Description: partial 16S ribosomal RNA
Rfam family: Bacterial small subunit ribosomal RNA
Source: RNAcentral